Molecule: ribosomal RNA, 492 nt
Filed under: uncultured bacterium
Lineage: Bacteria
Description: partial 16S ribosomal RNA
Rfam family: Bacterial small subunit ribosomal RNA
Source: RNAcentral
AUUGAACGCUGGCGGCAGGCCUAACACAUGCAAGUCGAACGGCAGCACAGUACUUGCUUGUUGUUUCAGCGGCGGACGGGUGAGUGAUGCCUAGGAAUAUCCCUAUCUGUUUGUUCUUAGGGCCUAACGUAGGCGAUAAUACCCCAUAACCCCUUACGACGUACGUGGGAAAUCAUCGGAUCUUCCGCUCUUGCGCGAGUCUAUGUCCCGAUGGCGGAUUAGCUAGUUGGCGGGGUAAAGGCCCACCAAGGCGACGAUCCGUAGCUGGUCUGAGAGGAUGAUCAGUCACACUGGAACUGAGACACGGUCCAGACUCCUACGGGAGGCAGCAGUGGGGAAUAUUGGACAAUGGGCGAAAGCCUGAUCCAGCCAUGCCGCGUGUGUGAAGAAGGUCUUCGGGUUGUAAAGCACUUUUGGUUGGGAGGAAGGGCAGUAGGUUAAUACCGUGCUGUUUUGACGGUACCAACAGAAUAAGCACCGGCUAACUUCGUG